CAGACGGGAAGCUAUAUUGCAAUAUACAUUAUUCUUCAUGCGAUGUUUUUCUCUUAAAUAUCAACACAUUUUUAUUUCUAAACUCAUACUGUAGUGGUCGCUGAUGAAUCCUAAACUCAUCCUAAUCUGCUUCACUUCAAUGGCGGUGUGCCACAAUUAGAUUACAAGCCUAUAAUAUGAUUUCAUAUAAAUGAGAAGUUUAUUGUACUAGCGUCUUGAAUUGCUUUUGACAUUAAAGAUGUUUCUAGAAUCACAAAUGUCGCAAUCAUUAAAAUUAGUGUUCCCUUUUCUCUUUCAUGUAUUUCCCUUCUUUUUUUCAUUUUUAUUAUCUCUAGGGUGUGGUUGUUUUAGUCCAUGAUGCAAACUCCAUGAACUAUGAUGAUGCCAUCUUUUCUAAAUUUAUUGGACACACUUUUAUCAGCUGUUGCAGCAUGUUCACUUGGGCUUCCUUUGACAAUGACCACGGUAAAAUCUCUUAUAGUUUAUAAAGAUAGGGUACAAUCACGAUUGAGCUUUGGAGUAGGGGCAGAAACACCAAAUUCUUAGUUAAUUCGGACAGUGAGCUCAUCGAAACAGGGAGAAGCUCCAAAGUCCUCUCUCCGUGGUGGUGCCCGGCCCCUCAGUCCUCUUGCAUCAUUUGGGAUGGACCCGCCCGCCCCCUCAGAUGAUGCUCACGCCGGAGAAGGUCCUGCUUCGUCAACUAAAAGAAUCCGGUUGGAGCUAGUGGAUAAAAUGUCUGACAAUCCAAAAGUGCUUGUAUUCGAGAGCACACAACAGCGGUAUGAGGUCCCUCUGCGACAGCGCACACCCAAAAUAGGUGUUCUGUAGGUGAUGGUUUGCACCCACAAACAUAGCUAGUGGCUUGUCAUAAAUAUUUGUCUUGUGUGUGUUGUCAAAUGUCAUGACAUCUCCAAAAUCAAUAUAUUCAGCCUGCAUGCUAGCAUGACUCCAGAAUAAGCUAUGAAUUGCCCCUUCUUUAUCGAUCUUGACGUACCAACGAAAUUGUGGAUUCUGAGCCUUGCAGUCUUCAAAGAAUUCUAGAAGCUUCGCAAUGUCAUUGGCAUGUUCUGCCCUCACAUUAGC
Molecule: long non-coding RNA, 1083 nt
Organism: Sorghum bicolor (sorghum)
Lineage: Eukaryota; Viridiplantae; Streptophyta; Magnoliopsida; Poales; Poaceae
Exons: 4
Source: RefSeq, a predicted model, not a curated record